UAGGGAAUCUUCGGCAAUGGACGAAAGUCUGACCGAGCAACGCCGCGUGAGUGAAGAAGGUUUUCGGAUCGUAAAACUCUGUUGUUAGAGAAGAACAAGGACGUUAGUAACUGAACGUCCCCUGACGGUAUCUAACCAGAAAGCCACGGCUAACUACGUGCCAGCAGCCGCGGUAAUACGUAGGUGGCAAGCGUUGUCCGGAUUUAUUGGGCGUAAAGCAAGCGCAGGCGGUUUCUUAAGUCUGAUGUGAAAGCCCCCGGCUCAACCGGGGAGGGUCAUUGGAAACUGGGAGACUUGAGUGCAGAAGAGGAGAGUGGAAUUCCAUGUGUAGCGGUGAAAUGCGUAGAUAUAUGGAGGAACACCAGUGGCGAAUGCGGCUCUCUGGUCUGUAACUGACGCUGAGGCUCGAAAGCGUGGGGAGCAAACAGG
RNAcentral lists this ribosomal RNA (429 nucleotides) under Gemmatimonadota bacterium. RNAcentral's name for it is "Gemmatimonadetes bacterium partial 16S ribosomal RNA". It matches the Rfam family "Bacterial small subunit ribosomal RNA", at positions 355 to 776 of the family's 1533-position model. Lineage: Bacteria; Pseudomonadati; Gemmatimonadota. The record is from RNAcentral.